AGAUUGAACGCUGGCGGCAUGCCUUACACAUGCAAGUCGAACGGCAGCACGGGAGCAAUCCUGGUGGCGAGUGGCGAACGGGUGAGUAAUAUAUCGGAACGUGCCCAGUCGUGGGGGAUAACGUAGAGAAAUUUACGCUAAUACCGCAUACGAUCCAAGGAUGAAAGCGGGGGACCGUAAGGCCUCGCGCGACUGGAGCGGCUGAUAUCAGAUUAGCUUGUUGGUGAGGUAAAAGCUCACCAAGGCGACGAUCUGUAGCUGGUUUGAGAGAACGACCAGCCACAACUGGACUGAGACACGGCCCAGACUCCUACGGGAGGCAGCAGUGGGAAUUUUGGACAAUGGGCGAAAGCCUAGACUCCAGCAAGUGCCGCGUGCGAGGAAGAACGGUCCGUUCGGUUAGUAAACGU
RNAcentral lists this ribosomal RNA (410 nucleotides) under uncultured soil bacterium. RNAcentral's name for it is "bacterial SSU rRNA". It matches the Rfam family "Bacterial small subunit ribosomal RNA", at positions 26 to 433 of the family's 1533-position model. The record is from RNAcentral.